RNAcentral lists this ribosomal RNA (1475 nucleotides) under uncultured prokaryote. RNAcentral's name for it is "partial 16S ribosomal RNA". It matches the Rfam family "Bacterial small subunit ribosomal RNA". The record is from RNAcentral.
ACGAACGCUGGCGGCGUGCUUAACACAUGCAAGUCGAACGAGAAAGUUCCUUCGGGAGCGAGUAGAGUGGCGCACGGGGGAGUAACACGUAGGUGACCUGCCGAAAAGAGGGGGAUAACCAGGAGAAAUUCUGGCUAAUACCGCGUAAUCAUCACAACUUUGGAAGGAGUGAUGGAAAGGAUGCCUCUAUACUAUGCAUCUGCUUUUCGAUGGGCCUGCGGGGCAUUAGCUUGAUGGUGGGGUAACGGCCUACCUUGGCGAUGAUGUCUAGCGGAUCUGAGAGGAUGGUCCGCCACACUGGGACUGAGACACGGCCCAGACUCCUACGGGAGGCAGCAGUGGGGAAUAUUGCGCAAUGGAGGAAACUCUGACGCAGCAAUACCGCGUGAGUGAGGAAGGCCUUCGGGUUGUAAAGCUCUUUCAAUAGGGAAAAAUGAGCAAGGGUCCAAUAGGCCCUUGAAGUGAUGGUACCUACAGAAGAAGCACCGGCUAACUUCGUGCCAGCAGCCGCGGUAAUACGAAGGGUGCAAGCGUUGUUCGGAUUUAUUGGGCGUAAAGGGCGCGCAGGCGGAUUUUUAAGUCAGAUGUGAAAUCUCGGGGCUCAACCCCGAAACUGCGUCUGAAACUGAGGAUCUAGAAUUAUGGAGAGGAAAGGGGAAUUUCGCAUGUAGGAGUAAAAUCCGUAGAGAUGCGAAGGAACACCAGGGCCGAAGCGGCUAUCUGGCUCGAUACUGACGCUGAGGCGCGAAAGCGUGGGGAGCAAACAGGAUUAGAUACCUUGGUAGUCCACGCCGUAAACGAUGUGCACUAGAUAUUUGGGCCGUUGACAGGUUCAGUGUCGUAGCUAACGCAUUAAGUGCCACCGCCUGGGGAGUACGGUCGCAAGACUAAACUCAAAGGAAUUGACGGGGGCCCGCACAAGCGGUGGAUUAUGUGGUUUAAUUCGAAGCUACGCGCAGAACCUUACCUAGGUUUGAAAUCCUGAGAAUCUGAUAGAGAUAUCGGAGUGCCCUUCGGGGAAUUCAGUGACAGGCGCUGCAUGGCUGUCGUCAGCUCGUGUUGUGAAAUGUUGGGUUAAGUCUCGCAACGAGCGCAACCCCUAUCUUUAGUUGCCAGCAUUAAGUUGGGCACUCUAGAGAGACUGCCUGGGUUAACCAGGAGGAAGGUGGGGAUGACGUCAAGUCCUCAUGGCCCUUAUAUCUAGGGCUACACACGUAAUACAAUGGUACAUACAAAGGGAAGCGAACUCGCGAGGGGGAGCAAAUCUCAAAAAGUGUAUCUCAGUCCGGAUUGGAGUCUGCAACUCGACUCCAUGAAGUUGGAAUCGCUAGUAAUCGCGGAUCAGCACGCCGCGGUGAAUACGUUCCCGGGCCUUGUACACACCGCCCGUCACACCAUGGGAGUUGAUCUUACCUGAAGUCGUGGCCCUAACUUUUAGAGGGGAGCGUCUACGGUCGAAUCGAUGACUGGGGUGA